UGCAUCUGAAGUGUUGACAGCCAGGCGAGGCAUAAGCAACUAGACAAGAUGCGUUUCCUUAAUAGUGCAGAAGGAGCUGAGACUCAGGUGAAUGAAAAAGCAUUGUGUAGGAAAAAGAAGAGGAAUGAAAAGGAUUGAAAGAGAAAAUUGGAGAGUCUAUUGACAAUGAGAGCAAUCAACAAACCCUGGUUCACUGGACAUCCCAGUGGUCACUGUAUGGUUCAAGAUUCUGCAGGAGGAGACAAAAGAGAAUUGCUGAGGCUUAGAGGCAGUCUGGCAAUUUUGAUUGGAUAAUAGACAUUAUGGAUGGCCCGUUGUAGAUACUCUGGAUUCUGUGAUGUUCUGCUGAAGAGUAGCUUUUGUUGUAGCUGGCAGCUUCCUGCAACUGGGUUGAAGGCUCCAAGCAGUCCAGGAUCGUUCACAGUCUUGUUGACUGUUAUGCCCUCCAGCCCGACCUGGUGCCUGGCUCAUGAUCAUAUGUGCUCAAUAAAUAUCUGUUGA
Molecule: long non-coding RNA, 501 nt
Organism: Diceros bicornis minor
Lineage: Eukaryota; Metazoa; Chordata; Mammalia; Perissodactyla; Rhinocerotidae
Exons: 3
Source: RefSeq, a predicted model, not a curated record